This 1331-nucleotide ribosomal RNA is filed under the name Arachnocampa flava (prey-luring glowworm). RNAcentral's name for it is "16S ribosomal RNA". Lineage: Eukaryota; Metazoa; Arthropoda; Insecta; Diptera; Keroplatidae. The record is from RNAcentral.
UUAAUAAAAUUUAUUAAUAAAAAGAAUUAUAAAAUAAAUUUAUUAAAAAUAAUUAUAAAAUUUUAAGUUUAUGUAUUUUUUAAAAAUAAAAUAAUAUUAAUAAUAAUUGAUUAGUAUUGAAAAAGAAAAUUGAAAUAAAAUGAAAUAUAUAUUAAAAAAAAAGAAAAUUUUAAUUAUUGUACCUUGUGUAUCAGGGUUUAUUAAAAAUAUAAUAAAUAAUUUAUUUUUUUCGAUUUUAAAAGAUUUAAUAAUUAAUAAUAGUUAUUGUUUAAUUAAUAUUAUAAAUUAAUUAUUGGAAAUGAAAUGUUACCGUUUUUAAAGAUAUCUAAUUUUUUAAGAAAUAAAUUUAAUUUAAAUAUAAUAAAUAUUAAAUAUUAAUUAAAUAUUAUUUAAUUUAAUUAUAUUAAUAUAAUAAGGGAUUAGCUUUAUUAUAAAUAAUUAAAAAUUUAAAAUUAAUUAAUAAUAAAUAUAAACUUAGAAUUAGUUAUUAUAAAUAAUUUUUUAAUAAAUUAUUAAUAAAAAUUUAAAGAUUUAUUAAAAUUUUAAAUUUUUUAUUAAAAUAUUAAUUAUAAUAUUAUAAAUAUUAAUAUUUAAUGAUAAAAUUAGUAUAUUAAAUUAAAUAUAAUUUUAUAGUUAAAUAUAAGAUUUUUAUAAUUAAUUCGGCAAAACUAUAUUCGCUUGUUUAUCAAAAACAUGUCUUUAAGAAUUAAAUUUAAAGUCUAACCUGCCCAUUGAAAAUUUAAAAGGCCGCAGUAUUUUGACUGUGCAAAGGUAGCAUAAUCAUUAGUUUUUUAAUUGAAAACUUGUAUGAAAGGUUGAACGAAAUAUAAACUGUAUCAUAAAAAUUAUAGUAAAAUUUAAAUUUUAAGUUAAAAUGCUUAAAUAUAAUUAAAAGACGAGAAGACCCUAUAGAGUUUUAUAUUGAUAAUUAUAUAAAUUUUUAUGAAAAGUUAAAUUUUUAUAAUUUUUAAUAUUAUGUUGGGGUGACAAUAAAAUUUAAAAACCUUUUAUUAUUAAAAAACAUAAAUUAAUGAAUAAUUGAUCCUAUUUUAUUGAUUAGAAAUUUAAAUUACCUUAGGGAUAACAGCGUAAUUUUUUUUAAAAGUUCAUAUUUAUAAAAAAGUUUGCGACCUCGAUGUUGGAUUAAAAUUAUUUUUAGGUGUAGAAGCUUAAAAUUUAAGUCUGUUCGACUUUUAAUUUUUUACAUGAUCUGAGUUCAAACCGGUGUAAGCCAGGUUGGUUUCUAUCUUUAAUAAAUAUACAUAUAUUUUAGUACGAAAGGACCAAAUAUAAAAAAUAUAAAUAUUUAAAUUAGAAUAAUAAUAAAUUAA